Molecule: ribosomal RNA, 1497 nt
Filed under: Triticum aestivum (bread wheat)
Lineage: Eukaryota; Viridiplantae; Streptophyta; Magnoliopsida; Poales; Poaceae
Description: partial small subunit ribosomal RNA
Source: RNAcentral
AUGUUCUUCUUACUCGUCCUUGCGUCCUGCUUUCUGCUCAUCCUCUUCUCCUCCUACGUGUUGGGAAUGCUCGCCGACGCCCGCCGCCGUCUUCCACCUGGCCCGAUGCCGCUCCCUGUCAUCGGGAAUCUCCUCCACGUUGCGAGCUGGCUCCCGCACCGCUCCCUGGCACGCCUCGCCGAGCGUUACGGCCCGCUGAUGACUGUCCGGCUAGGGACGGCCGUCGUGAUCGUGGCCUCAUCCCCAAGCGCCGCCCGUGAGGUUCUCAGGACGCACAAUGCGAGCAUCACCGGCCGCAAUGCUCCUGACGCGUGGAACGGGAUGGGCCACGCCGCAAACUCGGUGUUCAUCCUGCCACCGGGCCACAGGUGGCGCGCGCUGCGCAGGAUAGGCACCGAGCACUUGCUGUCGCCGAGGCAGCUGGAUGGCCUACGGCCCGUGAUGCGGGGCGCCGUUGACCGCAUGCUCUGCCAUGUCUCGGAGAUGGCGGCGGCCGUGUCCGCCGGAGCGCCGGUUGAGGUCGGCCGAGCGGUAUUCGCCGCAAUGGCGGACCUCCAGUGGCGCGCCAUGUUCUCCUCCGGCCUUGACGCAGCCACCACGCGCGAGCUGCACGCCGUCGCGCGGGAAGCUGCCCUCCUGGCCCUGAAGCCCAAUGUGUCGGACUUCUUCCCGGCGCUCGCCGCACUGGACCUUCAGGGCAUCCGGCGCAGCAUGACGAGGCAGCUGGGAAAGGUUUACAGGCUGAUCGACCAAGAGAUCGACCAGCGGAGGCGAGGCCGGGAAGCGGGCAGCGUCGACGGGCGCGAGAAGGACGACCUGCUGGACGUGAUGCUGCAAAUGUGCGAGGUGGACGGGGCGGCGGUGAUGAACCAAGACUCUAUGAGAGCAUUUCUUACGGAUCUAUUUCUUGCGGCCAUCGAUACCGUCUCGGGCGCGAUCGAGUGGGCAAUGGCAGAGUUAUUACAAAAUCCAGAAACCAUGAAGAAGCUAAAAGAGGAACUUAGUAGAGUUCUUGGCUCGAAGGAACAUGUUGAAUACUCCGAUAACCUUCCUUACCUGCAAGCAGUCGUUAAGGAAACUCUCCGUCUGCACGCAGUUGUGCCGUUGGCACCUAACAAGGUUGAGCAGACAGUAGAGAUACAGGGGUACACCAUCCCCAAGGGAAGCACCGUGAUUGUGAAUCUGUGGGCCAUCCAUCACAAUGCUCAAGUAUGGACAGAGCCAGACAAGUUCAUCCCUGAGAGGUUCCUGUGUAAGGAGGUAAAUUUCCAAGGUAUGGACUUUGAAUUCAUGCCCUUCAGUGCUGGAAGGCGCAUCUGCCUAGGGUUGCCGCUCGCUACUAGGAUGCUUCCUGCCUUGCUAGGCUCGUUGUUGCACCGUUUUGAGUGGACAUUGCCCGAAGAGGCCAUGAAAAUUGGUGUUGAUAUGUCUGAGAAGCUUGGGUUAACAAUGUCUAUGGCGACUCCUCUCCAAGCUAUAGUAGUGAAGACAUUAUAA